AGAGCUAAUACAUGCCCCAUUCCAAGAUCCUGCCACAAGAACAGUCACAUCCAUGCUUUAGGCAGUUCUCCUCAGCUAUCACUGCAGUAAGAAGUUACCAUUUUCAAGACUUGCUCACCUUUACAGGUUAAAAGUAUUCUAAUUUACAUCUGUAUUUAUUUUCCCACAAGAAUUUUCACUUAUGUGGAUUAAUAUUCAACAUCAUUUUCUAGAAGUAUACAGUAACUUCAAUUUACAAGAAACAUUGCAUAAAUGCUGAAUCACAUUUCCUGAAUAUAAUGAAAAAACAAGCUAUCAUUUAAAUAACUACAUUUGAAGAAGAGAGGAAAUAAUAGAGGAAUAACAGGAAAUUCUGCAGUGAUCCUUUUAAAACUCUACAUAAUAUCCCGUAUCACUUGGAAUCUAACUUAUAAUGAAUGAAGUUACUUCGUGUUAUUCAUCACUGAAAAUUCAAGAGGGCUAUGUUUGCUUCUUCUCAUUUACUAUCACUAUUGUACUUCUGGGAAAGAUAAUUUGACAUUCAUGUCAAAAAAUGAACAUGGAACAAUUUGACAGAUCUCUCUGGGAAGAUCAGAGCAACUCUAUUACAUGAAGAAAACAGAGACAAGGCAAAGAACAGAAUUUUGGAUCAGAGUGAAAAAAAACAGUUGCUAAUUACCCUGCAGUUUCUUAGUACUACACUCCAUCUUGCAUCAGAAAAGUAAAGCUAUGUGCUGAUCCACGUAAUUUGUUAAGUGGAGUUUUUUCAAGAUCUGAUUAGUUUAAUGAGCAUGUAAUUUUAUUCACAGUUCCAUCUACCUAAUACAGGGCAAAUGCAUGAUUGAACAUUCAAUGUUUAGAAUAGAAAUCAUGUUAAGUGGAAAAAUUGUUUUUUUUUUUUUUUAUCUUGCAUGAAAGAGAAACGUGAAGGAUGAUCUGGCAGUUCAGGACAACUCCUGGGGAUCUCUUUAACAAGUUGCUGUUUAAAUGUUCUUGAUGACUUAAACUCAUUCUCUUUUAAGUUCCUGUGUCCUUUUAUUUUUUAAAGCAGCACCUUGCACAAAUAGUAUCUCCUACAGAAAGUAGUUCCAAAGAUUUUGGGAAAAAUCAGCUAGCAUCUGCAGUGAGUCACAGAGCUGCAUAGAAAGAAAUUAUGACGUAAUUACUUUAAGACCAGCAGAGCAUAGAGUUCAUAGUGGUGUUUGACAUCCGUCUCAGAAUACUGGAUAUGGUGGAGAUGCUGAUCUGAGGGCAGGGUAACUGAAGCCCACCAAAAAUAAAUACCAGAGUAGGCAGUGAAGACAUCCUGUAGUGAGAAAAACUAACUGAAAUGAACAGUUCAAAAAGAAUAUGUUUCUGCUUGGGCUCUGAGAGGCAGACAGACCACAUACAGGAGAGUUUGCAAGAGAACAGCAUAGCGGAUCAGGAGUAGCAGAUGUGACUCAACGUGUCUGCUGCCAGAAAGGCUUCCCAAAUGCCUGAAGAACAGAGGUAUCUUGUCAAGAACAGUUUAAGUCAGAACAUCUGUGAAUUCUGAUCCUUUCAUUAGAAGACUCACCUUCAAUCUGCUUACAUUUUAAGUAUUAUUUCUUCACCAUCUGAUCAGUUGAAACAGCUGGAUUUUUUUUUUUUUUAUGGAAUACAAGAAUAGCUUUAUUUAACUGUUUCUCUGACAAGCCACAGUCACAUUGCCAUAUCUGCUUAGAUUUCGUCUAGGAAUACUUGUCCUAGUAUCAGAUAUCAGACUAAAAAUUUCAGUCUUUCUCCAUUGAGACACUAAGAGCAUCUUUCGAAUGGUUUUGAAUUGGGAGUUAACAAAGGCUGUUGUUCGGGUUUUCUAUUUCUUUCUUUACUAGUCUCUGCUCCCCACCCAGCAGACUUCACCAGAGAGCUGGGACACAGCCCACAUGCUCUUCAUCCCAUGCUGGAGGAGUUAGAGGGUGCUGCAUUUGAGGCUAUGGAGACCUGAUCCUCUGCCAAGUUCCAUCGUAGUGCAACUACUCCUUUUCUAGGAUUCCUUUAAAUUUAAACAUUGCAUCUCUGACCUGUUCCAGCACUUUGCAAAGCAAAAGAUGGAGUGGAGGCAAAAUGAGACUAUUUCUAUCCCUCUCUGUGAUGAUGUAGAAACCAUGAAAGCAAGGUUAACAUGGAAACUGUGAGACUUCCAUAUAACAGCUCUAGUAAUUUGGUAUCAUUUUAUGAGUACAUUUAGACAGAGUUGGUGUGUCACUGAUCUUUGCAAUAUCGAUUUACUACCUUAGUGAAUCAAAUCCAACAGUGUUUAAUCUGCCUUUCAAAAAAAGUCCUAUUUACUACAAUGAUAUCAGAAAAUACAAAGUUGCAUUUCUUCUAGUUUCUGUAGUAGUCUGCACACCCAUUUAUCCUUCGGUAAUUUCUAUAUGUAUGUUAAUUGCUGUCAUUUGGUAAUUUCUAUGUGUACAGUACAAGGGCAGAAAGAUAUGGGAGCUAAACUAAGGAGACAUACUGAAAUACAUUUUUUUUUUUAAUUUAUCAAUUAAAAAUAUUAAACUCAAUAUUGAUGUGAAGGCUUUUCCUUCCAUUUUUUCUUCUCCCUCACUCUUCUAUUUUAUUUUAAUAAAAUACAGAACAACAAGAAGAACUUCUCCUAGCUUUGGUUUCCAUUACUGAGAAAUGUUAGAGUAACCUAAAACAUCAAGAAGACAAGUAAAAUGAAAAAAUUUUCAUGAAAUAAUUUUGCAGGAAACCCCAAUGAGUUCUUAUGUUCAUAAUUUCCAUUACUUAGAAGGAAUAGACAAAAAUACUAGUAAGAAGGCACUGUGAGACAAUAAUAAGAACUAAAAGUCCACACACAGUUACAGUUCAUGUAUUCACAGAUCUUUACAUGCAAUAGCCUGGGAGGUGAUACAAGUAACCAUAUGAUCAAGGAGCCAAUGAGGGGAACUACUCUGUUGGAUUUGUUACUAACAUACCGGGCAAAACUGGUUGGGAAUAGGAGGAAGAACAGACAUUCAGUAGAGCACAGCAAUGGGACAAGGAGUGAAGGGCAUGAACUGAAACACGGGGUGUUGUGCCAAAACAUGUGAGAAAGAAAUCCAUACUGUGCGGGUGAUUAAGUAAAGGCACAGGUUGUUUACAGAGGUAAUGAAGUUUCUGUCCUUGGAGAUAUUUGAACCCAGAUCAGGUACAUACCUGAAGAAUUUGGUGCAGGUAACUCUGCUUGAGCAGAGAGUUGUACUGGAUGAUCUCCAGAACUUCCCCACCUCUGCCAUUCUCUGAUUCUUUAUAAGGAGUAGUCACUUAAUAAAAAUAGCUUAUUCAAAAGAAAAUUAUUAUGGAGUCUGACUAUGGCAAUCUCUAGUGAUUUAAGCAUUUAUGUUAAUGAGGCAAUGUUUGACAAUUUAUGUCAAAUUGACAGAGGAAAGAUGAAAGGUUGGUGUGUAGAAGACAAGGCUCAACUAAUAGCUAAAUCCCUGGUUGAAGCCAGGCUGCUAUACCCUAGAGGGCAAAUUCAGACACGCAUACAGAAAGUAUAUCACUGGAGACCAUUUCCAGUGAGUAACAAUUAAGCAAGGCAGAAUCUGAGCCUUCUAGAUUGCUCAGAAACUGGAUUUGAUAAGAGGGAAGGAAAAAAAAAAUCUCAUCUCUGCUAUGAAAAAAAAGCCAUUUAUGUAUGAUCAGCAUGAAUAUGAAACACUAAGCUUUUUUUUCCUUCAGUAACUAUUUUUAAACAUCUUUUAUACAAAAUACAAGCUGUUAAAUGACAUCUCGUGUGUGCUGUGAAGACAAUCUCAUGCCUUUAUCUCUGGCAAAUAGUGAUGGGUUUAUGGCACUACCUUCCAGCAAAGGCAAUACCACAUAGCAGGGCUCUGAGUUCAGAAAAUCCAUUCAGGGGCAUUCUUUGGGAACCCAGCACCGUUAUGUCUUCUUCCUCACUAAGUUGAUUCUGCAAAGUCUCCAUCAUGAACUGUCUCACACUCUCAGGUGCUGAACACCAGGGAUUAUGUGAUAUUUCUCAGCAGAAGUUUAGCUCCACAGUCACUAAAAUGCCACACUCCCUAUUCUAGGAACUUGUGUCUUCUAACCUGUUCCCCUUCUGAAGAAACACCAGUUGUGAUAGCAGUCACUAAUGUCACCAUGUGGGCUGAGAAGACUUCUUCUUGCCAGGGAGUUAAGGCGGGUGGAAGACAAAAGUAAAAACAAGCUGUGGUUAUUCAUACCUCUCAAUGCAGGGAUUUCAAAAACAGAGUUCUGUAUUUACCACCCCUAUCUUUGAAAGCUUCCCCUCCUCUCCCACCUCCUGUCACUUCUGAAACACUUAGGACUGGCUGUGCACUAACAGCUCCGUUGUUGGGGAGCAGCAUCUCUGUUGGUUACACUGUAUCACAAAUGACACCUCCAUACUUUGUCUAUUUUCUUCUCUUGAUUUGAUAACUUGCAUUUAAUUACAUUGGAAUUCAAGCAGAGCACAGACUAGAGCUGACUCACACCUCUUUGCUUUGAAGAACUAGUUCAGAAGAACAGGUACUAAGAAACUUUAAGGCGAUUUCAUUGCAUUUGGGUGACUUUAGAUGGUAGCAAGACAUGGCACAUGGAAAAGGUGAUGCAACUGUUUUGUUCUUAAGCAGCUGUUCUUACUUACUAGCAGAUUUCAAGCAGUUUGAGAAUACUUAUUUCCUUCUACAGAAAUUAAACUGAAGCAUCUAGAAAAAGUCCCAAACAGCUCCCACCUCUAGAGAAAUAAACAUGUUUUUAUUAAAUUUUAUUUUCAGCACAAACAUAACUAUUACUGCAACAAGUAUGACAGACCUAUACCCUAGUACAUUCACCUUCGGCUAGAUAAAAACAUGCUUCUACUCUCUCCAAAAUAAAUGUUCCCCUUUCCUGAUUAAUAAAUCAUAUCCAUUCUUAAAGUAUUCUGUCAUUCCAUGUCAGGAGCACAACUUAUCAACAGAGAAGAGCUGAUUAAAGCCUGUGCAUGUAAAACAUGAGCAAUACACAGCAAAUCCUUUCAAAGCUGUAUGCUAUUAUAAAGGAUUGAUUUCAGGCAGAAUGGCUGAACAUAGAAAAAAUGAACUUCAGAGAAUAGAAUCUGACCGUUAUAUUCUAGAGAGAAGUGAGGUGACAGGCCAACUAGAAAAGAGCAGUUUUGUCUGGAUAAUAAAGUGACAUUUGAGGAAACACAAGAAGAGAUCAGCAAACCAUCAGUUACACACAAUAGCAGCCAACUGAGAAAGGGAAACAAACUUAAGACAAAGAUGCUUAGAUUUUCCUGGAAUUUAAGCAAUGUAGAGAUCGGAAACAAAUGCUGAGGUGUGAAGGGCCUGAGAGAAGACUCCAGAAUGGGCAUAAAACUAGUGGAAAGUGUUGUUCACACUGAGGACUUAUGGAUGUCUAGCAACACAGUGAGAACAACUGUGUACAACCUAAUUCAGAGAGUUUUCAUACAAUUCCCUUUGCUUUUCCAUGAACUACUGUGAGUAGUUCAUGCUACCAGUGCUCAGGUUUACAUAACCACAGAUGCUAACUAGCAAUUCAUGCUUACUGAAUUUUGGUAUCAUGAAGAAGGAAUAUUCCAGAGAAGGUAUACUAGGGAAAGCAGCAAGUGGGAUGUACAGAUAAAAGUGGUUGAAGCAAGUAGUACGCAGCUUGAUAGCUCAUGGAGCUGGAGCCUCAGAGACAGGGAAGACAUAGAGAGAAUGGGACAACAAGUAGAUGUAUUUGAAUUACUUGAAUAUAAAUGGAAGAUUAAAAGAGAAGAAGAAUUAAACAAAUGAGGAAAAAUGUCAUUUUAAUUUAACUAAUUAUUUGUAUGAAACAGGAGAUAAAACAAAUAUCAAUUAUUCAUUGAGAGCCACAUUCACUGGGUUAGAUUUAAAUAUAUUUAAAAAUGAAUAUGGCUUUUACACAUUUAAGAUGUUUAUUUAAUGGAAAUGAACCAUGUGAUGCACUAAGGGAUUAUUAUUUAAAAAUAGCAGCACUUUAUGAUGCAGAAAAAAAGGCGGAAUCUUAAUAGUUGCUUUCAUUUAUAUUUUAUGUGCAGAAAACCCAGCAUAAAAAAAUUAUAAGAAGCUGACUUUAACUAACUCAAAGUUACUCAAAGAAGUGCAGUUUUCUUUUUUUUUUUUCCCUAAAACUUACUUAUGCGAAGAUGUUAUCUUAAGGUGAGAGCAUGAGACUACAAAUUAAAACACAGCACUGCCCUGUCACAUGAACACAGAUACACUCUUUGGUGUUCAGAGGAUUUCAUGGCAACUUUUAUUUUAGUUUCUGUUGACUAUUUGAAGAAUUGUAUGAGUGGACCUCUUGUGAAAAAGCAAACUGCUAACCUAGUACUUGUAUAAAAAAAAAGUAGAUCUUCUGCUCCUGUUGUGUCUUACAGAUGGGCGCAGCCCUGCAGCUUAGUCUUUCCCAGAGCCUUACAGGGAGCUAUGCAAAGGACAGCCAUGUGAGCUGGAGUACGGCCACCUCUGCAACUGACCUUAGCAAGACUCCUUGCAGAAAUAAAAAAAAAAUAACAAUCUUGUAAAGCCCAUAACUUCUCCAAUCACAUCCAAUAGCUUUACUAAAACUUCUUCUAUCACAUUCCAAAGAAAGCUGCUGUACCCAAUGAAAAAUUUUCCAUUCCAAACCCAAAUGAAAUAAUUAUAAGGGAAUGUCAGCUAAUGAGAUUCCCUCCUCCCCCAGCUUUGAUCAUUUCUAAUGGAAUUAUUCAUUCAAUAUACAUGUUAUAUGUGUAAUAAAUAAAUUUAUAAAUAAAUCAGCACGUAAGCAGUAAUGAACAUACAAAGAAUGCUCAGUAUACCGUGCCCACUGAUGAUGCAGGGAUUAUGUUCUUUGUAUACGGCAUAUGGUGAAAUGGCAUAGAAACUUAAAGUGUUUAGAUCAGACUAAUUAACUGCAUUACUUAUUUUAAUAGUAGAUACUUCAUACAAACUUUAUCAUCUAAUACUCAUCCAAAAUAGUUUUCCCCUAUUUUACAUGAAGUGUGAUUAAGUUAGGAGAUGAGCUUAAAACCUAGCAAAUUGUCAUGGUCAGACACAUACCCUGCAAACUAAAAAGAAAAGUGACAAGCCUCCCUCAGCACACUGUUGUAAGAUUUUUCUUGAUCUCGUUGGUGCUCACAACAGAGAAACUCAACCAAACUGUUUUUCUGUGCGCUCACCGGGCAGUGUUAUCCAUAGAUCAUAUUAAAAGUAGAAUUCCUACUUUUAAAACAACUGUCAUGAUGGUGUGCACUUCUGCUGCUUGUAAUGAAUUCAGUGACAUGCACCCAGGGAUGCAGGGAUACAGUCUGCAAGAAGCAAAGAUACCAGUAGUUCAUGGUUCAAAAAUAGCUGAUCUUAGACUUCUAAUGGCUAAAAACUCUGACGUCACUGGACAAAAUAAAACAAGGUAAGAAAGCAGCUACAUAUAGAACUAACAUUUAUGCUUGACUAGAGGCAGUGAGAAAAUAAUGAAAUUGGUUAGCUGAUGAGACACCCUACAGGAAUUUUUCACAAAAACAGGAAAACAGUGUUAAACUGACAUUUACUCAGCAAGCCACCAACCAGAAGUGCUCGGGGCACCCCCUACACUGAAGCAAAAUGCCAGAGCUGUAUAAUAAUUAGACUUUGAUGGAUCCCACUGACAUCCCAAAGGCUGUUCAGUUUCUAUUUUUUAUUUCUUUCAUCUGAUCUUCGUCCAUAAUUUGACAAACUAUUUUUAAGUGCCUGUUUUCCUUGUGACUUAUAUAUUCCAGGCUCACAAAACAAAUUAACUCAAUAUCUUCAACUGAUCACUGACACAGUUAUAUGUUGUUUAACUGGCACCAUAAUCUGAAAUCCAGUCAGUUUAGAAAUCCAGAAGUAGUGACAAAAUCUAAUCACUUCAAAAAUACUGAAUAACAUAAUCCUACAGCCAAGAUCCCCCCAGCUUGCAUGCUCGUAAGUCAUGUCCCUCUAUUAUUUUCAUUUUUUACUCUCUGAAUUAUACUCCACUGAGUAAGAGAUGUAUAAAAAUAAUCAUAAAGCUUUUGUGCAGAAAAAUUCUGUGUUGCUCAGAAAGGAGCUCAGAAAUGGUCCUCAAUAGCAAAGGCAGACAGCACACAUACAAAAGGUAGAUGUUCACCAUCACAGUCAUAAAGAUGGCGGGGGGGAAUAGGAAUACGGGAGAUAACAUUUUGUGCAGUGAUUUUUCCUUCUGUAUUACAAGACGUUUUCGGCUAAAGAAAAACAUCUGAAAGAUAAACUUGUGAGGAAAGAUUUUCAAGUGUGUAGACUGCUACUUCAAAGAAGAAAGGAAGAAAAUGUUUUCUGUGUUUGCUCUGAAUAGCAUAAGUAGUGGACAUAAAUAGUAACAGGAGAGAUUUAGCUUGAUAUUAAAAUGGAGAGUCUGCAGAGGCUAUAGCAUCUCCAUUAUUGAAAGAAUUACAGUUGAGUUUUCUUUGGGGAGAACAAACCUGCUAAGUUCCUUUAACCUGAUUUGUAAUAAUUUCUUGCCACAAAAAGCCAUAAUCAAAAAAAUCCUUUAAUUUCUCAGAACCCAAAUUAAUGUAUAAGUAUGUCAAAUCAGCACAGAAAUAUAAUCAGCUAAUUACACAGGCUUUUCUUCAUUAAAGAGCAGAAAGUACUAGUGAACAGGGUUGAUUUAUCUGUAUGUGCACUUGGGGCAGGAUUCAGCUGCUCAGGCACCAAUUUAGUGCCUUUUAAGCCACUUCACCAUACCCAACUAGAGCAAAGUAGAUACAAUAAGCACAUCUGAUCUCAUCAGUAUUCUGAAUCCUAUUCUGUCUGCUACUCAGAGGAGAAAUUGGGAAAGGUGGCAGGAACUCAAUUUGAGACAAAUAUAGGAAAGCUUCUCUGUACUUUUUGUUACAAUAGCAUUUGAACUUACAGGUCUGCUACCUACUAAGGCUAACAUAGAUUUAACCUACUAACUUUAAGUAUUAAUGUUUUAUCUUUCUUCUCAAUUUUAAAAUGAGAUUUGAAAAUCUAUUCAUUCCUAGAAACUGUCCACAAAGACUAGAAACCAUUUUCACAAUUUGUUUUUAACAAAGCUUUCUGACAUUUUAUCUAACAGACUAUAAGAAUGGCUCUGAUUUUAAGAUGUUUCACACUUUGUGAAUUUGUUUAGAGGAGCUAAUCCUUCUGCUAAAGAGAAGUUGUCAAAAAAAAAAAACUUACUGUUGAUCUGUAGCACAAAUUCAUCCAUUUUUGUGUAUUUACAUUUUCCAACAGGAAUUUUUGCAUCCUCAGAAUUCAAAUUAUUUCUUUAAUAUUCCAUUGUUUUAUUCAUCUCUGAAUAUUGAAAAUGAGCAGUAGGCUUUAAUGCUAUAACGUGAUGGAAAGUACUGUGAUAAUAUCAGUGUAGCAAAGUCUUUGACUCCAACAAAGGAGGAGAAGCUCAAACACAGCAGCUAUACAUACAGAAAUGAAGGAAAAGAGCUGCUUACCUCUAGAAGGCCACCAGUACAAGAGAGAGGAACCUCCAGCAAAACACCCCUAUCUCCACUGCCAAUUCUUAAAUGAGGUCUAGGAAGGGGUGGAUCCUGGCUCCAUCUAUUCUGGUCACUCAGGUUCUUUGCAUGCACCUGAGCUCCCCUGGGUUGGCCCUGCCUUCCCAACAGGUGUUCAAUCACUGCUUUAAGCUGUGACUUAGCAUUUCCUCUACACAGAUAGUUAGCAUUUUUUAGUAUCCUGCUUGAAGGUUAAAGCUGGAUAAUAACAAGUGAUUUGUUUUCUACCUGUCAUGUUUGUGCUAUAUAAUAAAGCUUUAAUAAUUAGAAAAAUACUCAGAUACUACGGUGAUGGACAUAGUACAAAGAGAUGAAUAUGUCAGGUGAUUUUGUAAAUUUCAUUUUCUGAACCUCAGCAAAAUUAAAAGGCAUGAAGGGGUAAAGAGGAAUUUCCUAAAGGAAGUUCACAGUAUCAUAAGUUAACCAAUAAGUAGUCAGUAAUUAUAAGGUACUGGUAAGGGAGAUAUGCAUCUCUCAAAAAAUUGUAUUUACAUUUAAGUAAAACAGUAAAGACUUGCAUUGCAUUAUACAAUCAGUGAUGAACUCUACAGUAGAAGGAAAGUUGCUCGUACAAUUUUGUCAUAUGUUCUUUGCAAGAAUGCAUCUUUUUUAGUUGUGAUUAUGGACAACAAAUGCUCACUUUUGGAAUACGUGUAUUCCUUUGUAAUAGUAGUUUGUUGUAUAGGAUGUGCUAGUAUAAUAUGUUUUAAAAUCAAUCACAGAAGGAAAUAAUAUCUGAAUGGACAACUCUAAUUAAAAAAUUUAACAUUUGUUCCUUUCAUUAUUUUGAAUGUCCCGUAGAAAUAGAAAUUCACCACUUGAAGGAUAUGUGUCCGCCUCCCUAAAGCUGUGUUUAUAUUUAUCCAAAUAACACAAUAAGCUUUUGCUCCUUAAAGAAAAUAAGCAAAAGCAUGGUUUUCAACUGGAAAACCCUUUGAACAAAUCAAUUAUACCAAAGGAAAAUGUUCUACCUCCUAAGUCAUGUAAAUGAGUUUUAUAAACACCCUGGAAUUUAGUAGACACUUAAGUACUAUUCCAAUUAACUUUGUUGUGUGGAAUGAGAGAAAAAUACAAUUUCUGUGGUUUUUUUUUUUCCUGAUUGAUCUAAGCUGCGGUGAAUAAAAAUUGCACAACUGCAUCUGAAUGUUUUCUUUAAUUCUAAUUUGUAAUUAAUCUCUUUAUGCUUCCUACAUUGUCAUCUGUCUCAACAACAUUAAAUUCCAAUUUGUUGACAUCUGGUCUAGGCUAAAUCAAAUCAAAGAUGUUUGACAUUGCAGAGCUGUACUCAACAAGCUCCAGACAAACAGCAGAGAUUGGAAAGAAUUUCUCAAGCACUGUAACAGAAAUCCUUCAUACUCAAUCCACAUUGAAAAAUAAUGUGAGAACUGAGUAUUAGCAUAGAAAGAAUCAAGAAUUUGGAAGAGGAAAAAGAGGUCUAAUUCCACUUAUUUAAAUUUAUUGGCCCAGUACAUGUAAAGAACAUGAAAUGAAAUGAUGCUAAUGAGAAAAUGAGCCCAGUUCUAAAUACAGUGAACUGCAAAAUCCAACAGUGAAAACCUACAACAUUGUGUUACAAUCCAAUGUGCAACUCUGAGCUAGCAUAUAAGUAUGUAUGAAGAAAAGAAGGAUGAAAAUGUGAUCAAAUCAGAAAAUUCCAGUAUGCAGGUGUUUUGAAAGGUCUACCAGUCAUAUUUGAAAACAGACCCCACCUUAUUGUGAAUAAUGCUUCUAAUACCAUCAUAGACCAUAUCACUGGCCAUAGAUGCCUGGGGCUGUUGAGAUUUCUUCAAGAUGUCUUCUGGGGGACAGUGAGCAACUCAGGCCCAUCACUCUCAAGUUAUCAGCUGCCCCAUAGUGGCUGAGUGGGCUUCGGAAAGAGUAAACUGGAAUAAGAUGAGGCAGUUCACCACAGAUUUCCAGGAGAUUUCUUCACACCACAAUCUGGGACUCUCUCUGCUGUACUGCUGUGUCCAGCAAUUUCACUUAACUUUAUCACUUUGGCUAGAGAUCUGAGUGUGAACUGAAUGUUACCCACUAAAUUCUCUCUCUGACAUAAUUUACUCUAAAUGCUACUGGGUUGUCUUUAAGAUUAGGUGUAACAUUUGUACAAAAGCUAAAGCUAAGACUGAGACUAGGAAGUUACCACCACACUCAGCAGAUAGUCAAAACCUCUGUAACACAGUCAUACGUUUGAUUGCUAAAAAUGUAGCCUAUGUUAUGAACAUCUUAAAGCGUAAUACUAUUGCUAGUAUGUUGAUGAUUAUUUCACAAAAAUGUAAGCAUAUAUUCUAGUUAGAAUGCCUGUGCUGGGGUGGCUGAUAGCUAAGGACAUGUCUUUGUUGCAUAACGCUUUCAAAGUAUCUGUUUUUCAAGUGAACGGAUGAGUAUGCAAUUAAUAAUACAGCAAUGUCAUUACAGACGAUUGCAUCAAUAGAUUAAAGCGCCCCCAUUCUUGUUGUAAUUCAACACGAUGGGAAGAGGAGGUCAUGGCUCUAUUCAGGGGUUAAAAUUAACAGAAUGAUUCAUCAGCUUUGAAUCCAGUUGAUGAUGUCUGCAAGACUGAAUACUGGGCAAUAGCUUUAUGUUCUUAUUAAGAUAAGAAAACCUAGGAACUGAAAGACUGUCAAAUAUAUUUUCAGAGCAGAAAUAUUAAAAAUUAAACUGUAUCAGUUAAAAAACAAGCUAAUAAUUUAAGAAAUAUGCAUGUUUUACAAAUCACUGGUGAAAAGACCAAUAUAGAUAAACUCAGUUAUGUUUUCUCACCUUAAGCUCUGAUAUCUUUCUCAAAUGACUUUUUGGAAAUUAAUGACAAUCAGUAUAGAAGUACUGUGCUGAAAAGUAGUGCAAAGUAGGAGUUAAAGUGCUUAUAUAUGACAAAUAUCUGCUGCAAGGUAAAAAUCUUUGGUACUUUAUGUCGAGCUCUUCUCUUUACCUUCUUUUUUUUCUAGAAGAGGACCCUUACUUUAGAUGCAUGCGUGGGUACUGGUAUUGUUGCUGGCAUCACGGGAACAGUCAGUUACUGAAACUAGAGAAGAUUUUAUAUAUAUUUAUAGCAGUGAAAAAAAAGAAAAAAAAAAAAAGAACAUUCAUAUAAGAUAGCCAAAAGUUAGAUGGUUAGAUUCAUAUGACAACAAACUCAAAAUCAGGGCCAAGUUAAUUGGGAUGACAAGAACUCCAGUGCUUGUUACUGCAAACCUGGCAGCAGGAAUGAAAAAAUCCAGUGUCACCAUGUUAGCGUGACUGUUUCUGUCAUAUCAGUAAAGGAUUUCCACAAGAAAGGUCUGCGCAGGAAUUUGCUGUGAUCACUGCCUUCAGACUCUGCCCUGGUGCAAGAUCAACAUCCACACACGCAGGACCAAAACUGCUGUCUGAAAUACCUGCACACAGCAGGACUUCAGAACGUUGGUUAAAUGUAUGAAGGUGUGAUAGCAUAUCCCUUGCCACUUUGGAGAAAGUGGCCAGCCUGGCAAAGCACUUGACCAGUGGUGGUCUGGUCUCAAGUCCUACCACUGAUAGUGGUGGAAGUCAGCUGUUUUUCCUGCCAACCUGCUCCUACUGGCCAUGAAAGGACCUACCCACCUCAGGAUGGCCACCAAUGGCUCUUUCUGGACACAAGUUUACACAACAAAUGUGCCUUCUGCAUAGUUGCCACAGUAAUUUCUGCUCAAUCCUGACCGAUAUGGAAGAGGAAUUGAACACGGCAUAGUGUUUCUCCUUUCCUGAAGGAGUCUGAGAUAAGAAGCAAAAGAAGAAAAGAAGCUAAAAUAGCUUUCUAAAAUGAGAUGUAACAAUUAAAACUUUUUUAUUUUUAUUAUUUUAGCUAGUACAAUAAUUUUCAGAGAAUGAAAAUGAAUAUUUCAUGUCUGCCACAAUUUGUUUUAAGAUUAGGUG
Molecule: long non-coding RNA, 13345 nt
Organism: Gallus gallus (chicken)
Lineage: Eukaryota; Metazoa; Chordata; Aves; Galliformes; Phasianidae
Exons: 8
Source: RefSeq, a predicted model, not a curated record